This 497-nucleotide ribosomal RNA is filed under the name uncultured bacterium. Its description in RNAcentral is "partial 16S ribosomal RNA". It matches the Rfam family "Bacterial small subunit ribosomal RNA", at positions 28 to 507 of the family's 1533-position model. The record is from RNAcentral.
GACGAACGCUGGCGGCGUGCCUAAUACAUGCAAGUCGAACGCUGAAGAGAGGAGCUUGCUCUUCUUGGAUGAGUUGCGAACGGGUGAGUAACGCGUAGGUAACCUGCCUUGUAGCGGGGGAUAACUAUUGGAAACGAUAGCUAAUACCGCAUAACAAUGGAUGACCCAUGUCAUUUAUUUGAAAGGGGCAAAUGCUCCACUACAAGAUGGACCUGCGUUGUAUUAGCUAGUAGGUGAGGUAACGGCUCACCUAGGCGACGAUACAUAGCCGACCUGAGAGGGUGAUCUGCCACACUGGGACUGAGACACGGCCCAGACUCCUACGGGAGGCAGCAGUAGGGAAUCGUCGGCAAUGGGGGCAACCCUGACCGAGCAACGCCGCGUGAGUGAAGAAGGUUUUCGGAUCGUAAAGCUCUGUUGUAAGUCAAGAACGAGUGUGAGAGUGGAAAGUUCACACUGUGACGGUAGCUUACCAGAAAGGGACGGCUAACUACGUG